CCUACGGGCGGCAGCAGUGAGGAAUAUUGGUCAAUGGACGGAAGUCUGAACCAGCCAUGCCGCGUGCAGGAAGACGGCUCUAUGAGUUGUAAACUGCUUUUGUACAAGGGUAAACCUGAAUACGUGUAUUCAGCUGAAAGUACUGUACGAAUAAGGAUCGGCUAACUCCGUGCCAGCAGCCGCGGUAAUACGGAGGAUCCAAGCGUUAUCCGGAUUUAUUGGGUUUAAAGGGUGCGUAGGCGGAUUGAUAAGUUAGAGGUGAAAUGUCCGAGCUUAACUCGGGAACUGCCUCUAAUACUGUUGGUCUAGAGUGUAGAUGCGGUAGGCGGAAUGUAUGGUGUAGCGGUGAAAUGCUUAGAGAUCAUACAGAACACCGAUUGCGAAGGCAGCUUACCAAUCUAUAUCUGACGUUGAGGCACGAAAGCGUGGGGAGCAAACAGGAUUAGAUACCCCUGUAGUC
This 460-nucleotide ribosomal RNA is filed under the name uncultured bacterium. RNAcentral's name for it is "partial 16S ribosomal RNA". It matches the Rfam family "Bacterial small subunit ribosomal RNA", at positions 338 to 795 of the family's 1533-position model. The record is from RNAcentral.